Non-coding RNA from Caenorhabditis elegans, 144 nucleotides. Lineage: Eukaryota; Metazoa; Nematoda; Chromadorea; Rhabditida; Rhabditidae. The record is from Ensembl.
CACCAAUCUUUCUCUCUCCAGCUUUUCGGAAAUGUCCGAACAGCCGCGUGGUCGUACCUAUCACCUUGUGCCAGAGAGCAUCUUUUGGGAGCUCCCACGAGUAUUCACAUGUCGCCACCUGGCGCCACUAAACAAUGAACACCC